RNA transcript from Pseudopipra pipra, 10325 nucleotides. It is a transcript of the gene named actin-like, with no coding region annotated. The transcript has 5 exons. The record is from RefSeq and is a predicted model, not a curated record. NCBI's taxonomy places the organism in Eukaryota, Metazoa, Chordata, Aves, Passeriformes, Pipridae.
UUUUCCCUGUAACUUGUGGGGAGUUUGGUAAUUUUUUAAUUGACUUGCAUUUCUUGUCUUGGUGGGGUUUAGUCACUGCCUGUCUUUGUGCAAAAUGUUCCUCAGCUGCAGAACACAUGAAAUUCAAGCUUAUAAAGGUACAACAUUACAUAUUUUACAUGUUUGAGCUUCAAGGUACAAGUCAGUAAAGGCUAAGUUUUCAACUGAGAAUUUGUGGGGAAAAGAAAAACCACUGUAGGUAAAUCCUGUAAACUUUCUUCUUUUGAUGGUCUUUAAUAUUUCUUAGUCUAGUAAAGGUCUAAAUUUUUUAAUAUAAAUCCAAUCUAUUCCAAUAUAAUUGAUGAUUUAUUUUUUUUUUGUAUAACAGUAAUUACUCAUCUCCUUUGAAUGGCUGAUUCAGUCCCUGUUUUCAGCCCUCGUGUCAAGUACUGGGAUAACAUGAGGACUGUACAUGCUGACUUAUCCUUUUCCAGCCUGAAGAUGGGUGUUAGCAGAAGGAUAAUGAACUAUUGUUAGCUAAUUAUGUUACAGUGAAGCAGAAUGCUUUCAAUGGCAACACUGGACCUACAGUCCUUCCAGUUUUACCUUGUGUGAGGGAUUUUUGUCUUGAGGGGAGAAAACAACCCUCUGUCCUGAGGCAGAGCAAGUUAGUGAGUGGGAAAGGAUCCAGAGGUGUUGGAAAUUCUGUCCUAAUUCAUCCAGGCCUCUUUGCUGUCGCUGACAAGCACAAACUGAAAAAAAAAGUUUCUGCAAGUGGCUUGACAUGUGUAGAUUCUGUGAACUCCAUUCCAGAGGCUGAUAUAAAUACGUUGGGAAGUGAGACCAUGUCAUUUAUGAAGCAGCUUCUACAAAUCAUCACCAUUUCCUGGGUAAGUAUUGCCCUGAGAGUGUUUUCAUGUUACAUUUCAUAAUUUAAAUGCUUUGCUUUGCUUAGUCUGAGAUCUUUGAGGGAUUACAUACUUGUUCCUGGACUUGGAUGCCUUUUACCUGAGGUUUUGAAGGCAUUCCAGAGGGUCUGCUGGUGUAGGGUAAUCCAGACCUUAGUGAAACGAAAUGAGGAAGAACAGUAGUGUUUUCUCUCUGAACAUCAGAAACCAAAAAGGAGGUUUUCUGUUAAUUGUAUUUAAUUUUGCACUUGGGAAUUAGACAAGUAAAAACAAACUAAAAAUUAAAAUCAAGCAAAUUUAGGAACUGCUUUAAAAUUCUCUACUCUUAAAUUCCAGUGUCUCGUGAUGUAAUUUCUGAUGUAUUUAAGGACUGAGUUUCCCUCUGGUUUACAUUGUUGGAAUCAGAGUCUGCGGGCAGUUCUGUAAUGUUGGAUACUGCUGGUAAAUAGCUGGUUUAUUGCACCCUCUUCCUGAGGGGUUUAGAAGAAAAUAACAAUUCACAGCAACAUUCAUUCAUGUUCAAAGAUACCAGCUACCAAAACUAAUGGUUAAACAUUCCUUUAUUACAGCUGUUUGCAAAUGCAUGUGAUAAAAUCCCAUUUUUGCAUUGUUAGGGACAAGAACUUUGCUGGACGAGUGCUGUUUUUCAUUCCUUUCCCAUUUCUGAAGUACCCUUCCUUACUGAGUGAAGUUGCCAAAGAAGGAAAAAUAAAGUCCUCCCCUCUUCUCAAAUGCUUAAAGAAGCAAUUGUCCAAUCCUAAAAAUAACCACUGCAUCCAAAAUACAUUGGUGAACUCCAGGCCCUCUCUUGGUGGGAAUUUUGCCAUGAAUUUCAGGGAGAUCAGCACUUUGAUGUGAUGGCCAACUCCUGAAGUUGAGAUGUUCCUGGGUGGUUGUGCCAGCUGCCUCUUGUUCUUUUUCCCAGAAUAACCACUUCCAUGAGGUAUUUACCACUUACAAACAUGAAGUAGGGCCUAGAGUGAGCACUCCACAUUACAGAGUGGCUAUCACUGAAAACACACACCAAAUGCUUCCCUGAAACUUUUCCUGGGGGUUAUUUUUAGUUGUUCAUUUGAGAUUGAUGGUGACCCUCUGAGAAAAAGGCAAACUUCAACAAGCCAUGAGGGAACAACUGCCAUCUUUGAAGUAAUGAAGGUUUGGUGAUUCUUAUGGACCAUGAACUACUUACAUUAGAGCUGGUAUGUGCAUAUGAGUAAUUAAUUUUAAACAAAUGAACUUUCUAGAAGAUAAUUCAGCCUUGAAAGAGAUGGGGUUUAUGCUGAAGUCCAAAUAGAGCUGACUGUGUGUCCUCUUGCAGAGCUUGUCCACGGUCAUGAGGCCAAUUAACAGAAUAUCACAGGAUCCUUGGGGGUGCAGCAGAUUUCCCUUUUGAAAACAAAGGACUGAUUAGUUUGCUUUGGUAAAACCCAUUCAAGUGGAAAUUUGUGUGGAUACUUCACAUGCUUUGUUACAUCAGAGCUUUAGCACUGACUUUGCUGUUUAGGUUUAUUCUUUCCCAACAUUACUCCUUCUACAGCAGUUUGCUCUCUAAAUGAUGGGGUGUUCCUUCUGUCCUGUUCCAUCCCAUCUGAGGAGUGUGUCCCUCCCUCCAAAUUGGUGCUUUGCAGCCAAAAUUAUGAGGCACUGUGUGUGAUGGUGAUGAAACCACCUCCCUUGUAUGUGCCAGUGGUGCUGGGCUUUGCAAAGUUGGAUUUGCAGGAGAUGAUGCCCCAAGAGCUUUAUUUCCAUGCAUCAUUGGACAUCCUGGACAUCAGGUCAGUUGGUACCAAAAUGAAAGUUCUGUUUGGUUUGGAUGGUUGUGUUCUGGGGGGAAAAAAACAAACCAGCUUGUUCAAUUAAUUAGUACUUGCUGAAUCAGUGUGAAUUAAAAACAUUGGCAGAGCAUUGCUAACAUGAGAAACCAAAUGAAUAAUAGUGAUAAGUUCCCUUUUUGUUCCAUUAAGCAACAGUAUGGCCCAAUAAAAUUCCAAAGAGGGUCUCUAGCACAUCACUUUAUAACCUCAAAUAAGACUGGAAAGGAUAACUGUGGCUUUUCUUGACCUUGAAAAGGGUCUUUCUGCUUAAUUAGAUUUCUAAAAGUUCCUUUGCAAAUAGAAGAUGCAAAUUUUUGUUUGUUUUGUUCUGAGCCAAAUUUUGAUUUUUUGGACUGUCAAAACCCUUCCCUGAAGUUCUGUGUCAUGAAAAAUAUUUUACCAUGUGUUGUUAUAUUAUUUGGGGCAAUUGUGAUACACUUCCUAAUGCAAAAGUGAUAAACUUAGUAAAACUAUUAUUUAAUAAGUGAGGGGUUUUUUAAAGAAAAUCUAUCUUUUAUAUAAGUAUCUCAGUUUCAUGAGACUGAAGAAUUUUACUGAGGAUGAGUUAUGAGGGAGACCAAGCUCCUCCCUCUAAGCAAGUGGAAAUCCAAAAUUAAGAGGCUCCAAUGGAAAAAGUAUGGAGAAAAAAAAACAACAGCCCUUUAUUAAAGGCUAUAUAUGUAUUGGCAGAACAACAAAAGAACACAAAACCAACUGAACACUAAUCCUGUACCCAACAGUCCCCUCCAAAAAGGAAACAGUUCGGCACUUUCUGCCUUUGGGCGCGAUUCCCAGCACGGCCAGCAGGGGGCGCCGUUGGAUGGCUGGGGGAGCAGAGCCUGCAGUGCUCGGGGUUGGCCAGCAGGGGGCGCUGUUGGGCUCUGGCAGUCGCCGCGCGAGGCCCCGGGGUGGGAGAGGCCGAAAAUGGAGAUUUCCCCCCAAAACCAAGAAGGGGAAGGGGAAAAGGGGAAAAAAGGGUUCUUCCCACGAACUCACGCUGUCAGCGGCUGGCUGUGGCAAGGACUCCCCCAAAGGUUCCUUCGCAGAAGGGUGAAGCCUCUCCGAUGAAAUCUGAGCAAGUCCGGGCUGGGGGCAGAACAGGGCGCAGGAGAACGGAGGCGAACCGGGGCCAGAAGCAGCCAGAUGACCCGGCCGAAAACAAAGCGAACUCAGAGCCCUUCCACACACACCCCUUCCCUGAGUCAGGGCAAAAGCGAAAUGCCUGCUGUUUCCCGAGGAGAGGGAAAAAAACCCUCAUCACCUCACCCCCCCCAAGUCUUCUGCGAGUUAUGAGCCUGGAAUGCGGGUCGCUAGCUAGUUCCUUUGUGUGUGUCAAUCAGCCUGGGCAGACACCCUCCCCCUCCCUCGUUCAACAUCUUUCUUUUACAGCUAUGCAGAGGAAAGAAAAAAAAAUUCCCCCUUGGUUUUUUUAGAACAAGUAAACCUAUGACAAUAAGUUAAUGCUUUUUCCCCCCAAAAAUGUAUAUUUUUAAAAAUAUAUUUCUCUUCCAACAAGGGGAAAUCUCCCUGUUUCAAGGCAAUAGUGGAACUGCUUAGACAGAAAGAGCAACCAAAUAAGUAAAUCUAUAGAGAUUAUACCUUUUCCACCUAUAAUUCCUUCCCUUUAUUUCUUUGUGCAGUGACAAAGGACCCACCUCUGAUGGAGAAUGAUGAGUUUGCUGGUGCCCACCUUGGCUGGACUCCUCUGUGGGCAUCACCAUGAUGUUAUGGUUGGAGUGGAUCAAAAAGACAGCAAUAUAGAGGCUGAAGCACCCAGUAAAAGAGGGAUCCUGAGGCUGAAAUACCCCACUGAGCAUGGAGUUAUCAGUAACUGGAGUGACAUGGGAAAGAUUUUGACAUCAUUCUUCCUACAACAAACUCUGGUUUUGCUGGAAGAACAUCCCACCCUUUUGACUGAGACCCCCUUGAAUCUGAAGGCCAGCCAUGGAAAAAAUGACUCAGAUUCUGUUUAAAACAUUCAGUGUACCAGCCAUGUGUGGAGCAAUUCAGGCAGUGCUGUCUCUGCCUUGGGACCAAUGACUGAAGUAUAAAAGACCACUAAGGAUCAUCCAGGCUGUUUUCCAUCCCACUGCUGGCUGAGGCAUGUCUGACUGCAGUGAAUGUCAAGGUAAGGACAAAAUUUGGGGCCCAAUUCAUUCACUAGCAAUUGCUGUAAGUCAAUCUGUUUUGCUUGCUUCAAUUUUAGGUAAAAGUCUUGAUUUCUGUUGUAAAUCUUCAUCUAGAAACUGUGGGGAGAUGUGCUGAGUUAUGUCUAAAGUGUGACAGCAAGGCCAAGUCUUCAUCAUAUCAGAGUUGGGCCAAAGCGUGGAAUAGUGAAAACCAUUCAAAAUACCCAUCAGUCUGUGCUGGUUUAACAGGGCAUUUUGGAAAACAGCAGUCCUGAGAGAAAGAAGCCAAGAAUAGUAAUGUAGUGACAGCAAGCAGUGAGAGUUGCAAGGCCUGACGUGAGUUAAAUGUGCAAAGGCGGAAGCCGAGCCCAACAACAACCUGGUAUGGAGGAGAAUGAGAUUAAGGGGUUGAAAUAUCUCCUGCUUAAGGUUUGCCUCAGGCAAGAGCGAGUUUGUAGGUGUAAUAUGUUGUUGAAUUUUAAUAUGGAAAUGUUUCCUGGCAUGUAUUUCAAACUCCCUAGAAAUAGUGAUAUUGAUCUAACCUUCAAUUAAUGGGAGAGGUCCUCUGUGAAAAUCGGGUCUGGGUUUGAAUGGCAAAUAGCUUUAAUAUUCUGAGCAGAGUGGAUCAUUUACACAGCUCAGUAAGAGACUAUAAAUCACCAGGACUUUGGCUUUUUUUUUUUUUAUUAUCAUUUUAAUGCAGGCUUGCUUUCCCUGGAGCAAAGGACCAGGAGUGUGGUGGAUCAUUAAAAAAUCACAGAGGUGAUGUCAGUAGGUACAGACAACAAAUAAUACAGUUAUGCAAAAGGGAGUUAUUUGAAAUCCAUUCCUGUUCUCUGUUGCCAUGUUUUUCAGAAAUCUGCUCUCUUUUGGGCAGUGGGAUGAGAUGAACACUCCCCCCCUUUAGCCUUUACACAAUCCAGGGGUAUCUUUCUACUUUCAGUUUGCACAGAACAUCCAUUCUAAAGGCCAUUUUUAUAGCAGUCUUUUUCCUUCUAGGCUGUUGGCAAAUAACCUUUCUUAACCAUGAAUUAAUACAGAGUUUAACUGAAGUUGAUGCUGAUAUUGAGCAGUAUUCUAUAGAGCUGUUCAUGAUCCAGGUUUACAUUUUGCAGGUUUACUCUCUUUAUUGAUUUCCUAUCUGGCCCAGAGAAAAUUAGGUUCUUACAGGGCUUCAAAGCCUCUAAUUAAACCAGAGAAGAAUUUCAUCCAGUCCUGGCCUCCACUGGUCUGUGAAAUACCCAAACUGAGAGAUCACCUUGACCAAGUGGACUCCCUGAUUUAAUAAUACCAUUCAUAGAGCUUGCACCUUCAGAACUGACCUUCCCUAGCAGUUUGACCUUGGAAGUGUCACUUUUAUUUAGUUUAAUAAAAUAAAAAGAAAAGAAAAAAAGGAAGAAUGGCUCCAGUCUGCCUAAACUUGCCUGGUUUGUGCUACUCAAGUUCCAAAUGACAAUCCUAUCUGCCCACUUUCUGCUAUUAUAGUCUUAGCUCUGUUUCUGGAUCUACCUAUUUCCCUGCUGAAAGGUGGAGCAGGAUGAAUUGGGUAGAGUUUUGUCAUACUUUUUAGCUGAAAAAGCAUUAAUUAAGUGCUGUGGUCUGGGUUUGAAUUUAUUUUACUUUUGGUAAGGUUUUUUUUCUGCAACAAAAUAUCCUCUUCUGAUCUCUUAUAUAGACUUAUUUUCCAAAGGGUUGUAUGGUGGUUGUCUGCAGAAAAUACCGCUACUCUGAACAUUUUCCUAUGGCCAUUCCAGUUGCUGCAGGUUUUGCUGUUGUCCUUGGUGAGUGAGAGAAGAUGUGAUUCUCUGAAUGUGUGCAAUUCCCUGGCCAGGCAACUGCUUGGGGAUUGUCAGGAAGCUUUCCUUCUGGAAGCUCUUCCUCUCUGGGAGUCUUGUAAAGAGCAUUUUGCAUUGCAGGUUGCUCACUAAAUCAGCUGUUUGGCUCCCUCACAGAGCUGCUGAAUUAACAUGAUGUGACCCAGGGAUGCGAAGGGAUUUCUUUCAUUAGCAGGGCCGGGAUGCUCAGGAGAACACAAGAUGUGUUUCCCAGACAACAGCUGAUGUCGCUGGUGACUGGAAGAAAGUACAAAGGUUGAAAAAGGAGCUUAUGAAGAGUAGGGAUCAAUUUAGGGGGGGGAAAAAAGAAGCAAAAUUAUAGAUUUUUACAAAAUAUAAAACACAACAUAUAGACCUGCUUACAAAGUCUGUGAAACAGCUGUGAGAGUCUCAGGAAUAAAAAUCCUUCACAAAUGAACGGCAAAGAAAUGCAGUUUAAAACACCUCCUGAAGUCUGUACAUGCUGCAACCUUAAAGUCACAAUCCUUACCCGACUUUUUUUCUCCAAAAUAAAACAAUCCAGAAUGAUAAUCCUGCUGGUAUAAACACAGAUGGCAAUUUGCACACGAUUUCAUUUCAGCUGAAGUUUUACUUCAAAUUCUGAGCGGAAAAAAUAAACCAUCUCUGGGUGCUCAUGAUAGGAAGGCUGCUGCAGACUUUUGGUUAAUAUUUAAGAAGCAUUCCUGACAGAGAACUACUGUGCAUCAGCCUGACAAACCAGCCUGUGGCUCACUUUUGCAAAAUAGCUUAGGAACUUGCAUGCAUCAUUCAUCUCCUUCAGUAUCUAGAGAAAGAUGACUUAAAUUUCCCUCAUCUGACCAUUUUUAAACCAUUUAAAAGAUUAUUUUUUUGUGCUUAAAACUAUAGCCACUUGGGCUAACAAUCAUAACUAUUCUAGGAUCCAAAAGGUAUGUGUUUUUUAGGUUGCAGUUUCACAGAUGUCCGAGUUGAUCUGUUGGCUUGUUGCCAUUAGCAAGGCAGGGGCUUUUUCUCCCCUCUCAUCAAUUCCCUCCCUUUCCUUUUGCCUGCUCUGCGGUGGUCAAACAAAUGGCCUCUUUUGUUUUGUGUUCACUAAUUAGCUUCCAGAUGGGUUAGUGAGUUGAAUUGUCUUUUGGACAGUCCUGGCAACCCUCAAGGCUGAUGCCAAGUGAAAGCAGACAAAGGGGGAGUUGGCUGCCCCCUCUACUGGCAGGAUUUUAUUGCAUUGCCCUCCUGUUUCAGGAAUCUUCAGCAUCAGGGGAGAGAAUGUGGUGUAUGCUGAGAAACAAGAGUUCUUGUCUAUGUCCAAAAUCCAGUAAUACCUCUUUCUAUAGUCUUGGACCAGGACUGCCAAAAGGUAGGAAUGGGUGGGUAACAGAGAAGGAAACCCUUCUCAGGACAACCAAAGGACAUGAUCAAAGCAAUGGUCACAGACAGAAAAAGGUAACUUCCAGUUAGAUUUAAGGAGAGAAUUGUUAUCCUGUAUGUGGAUGUGCACUGGCAGAGGCUGCCUAGGGCAGUGGGGGGAAUCUUCAUCUUUAGAGGCUUUUAAAACUUGACUGGACAUUGCCAUGAACAAUCUGAUUUAAUUUACAAGUUGGCUCUGUGUCACGCAGGAUGUUGGACCAGGUGAACACCAAAGGUUUCUGCCAGUCUGAUUUUUUUCUUCUACAGAUGCAGGGUAAUUUUUUUCACUUGCCCAAGCUCUUAAAGAAACAAUCUGAAAACAGCCAUCAUAACAACUGGUAACAGUUCUGUGUUUCAAGCAUGAAGCUGUUUCUGUGAGUAUCAGAGACUGAAACGGUUAAUGAUUUAUGCAUUCUAGGAUUGCCAGGAGACUUUUGCAGGCUUUUGUAGGACUUUUGCAUUAUACCUCUGAUGGGCAGCUGGGCCCAUCUCCCCCUCCAGUGCUGCUGAAGGUGUCAAGCCCUGAAAAGGUGAGAAGAGCCGUGUUUACCUUGCCCUCCACGUGAACUCUGCUCUGGGCUGUCCGAGAUGUUGGAGGUUGAUGGUGUGGCCAUCAAAGCCCAUCCCCCCCGCCAAUCUUGAAAGGCGGGAAAAACCCUUUUACGAGGCCCCUCACGGGAACUCUGCCCAGGCCCAGCAGACACUGGAGGCUCGUGGCAUGGCCCGGGACACCAUCCAUGGAUAUAACAACUCAUAACUUCUUGGAGUGCGGGGCUUCCCUCCCCCACCCCAGUGGAUCAAGGCCACCACUUCAACUCACAGACAUGGAAGCUGCAACUCCCAAGUUCCAUCGCUGGACCCCGUGGGCGGUGACUAUAGACAUCUUUCCACUCUCAGCUUUGCUUUCCCUUACUCUCCCUUACCCUUUCCUUUCUCUCCUUUAUGCAUUUUCCCUAAAGGUUAUCUUUAUGCCAUAUUGCUAUAGAUGAGAGAUAUAGAUGAUAACACCCAAAAUGGCAACAUACCUGUUUAUCUUUGAAACAAAAUUGUUCUAAAAUAAACCCUACGUAUAUAAGUUUUCAAACACCAAUUAUUUAAUGUCGUUUCACUCUAAUCCACCCCAAGGGAUUUAUUAAUAAAACCUGGGUUACCCCCCCCUUUUCUGGGGCGGAUCGUAACAGUGUGUCUCUCUUUUUCCACAUCAGCAUCUGGUGGACAAUUGUUAAGCCGUGACUGUUGCUGAAAAACUUUGACCGGUGGUUUUUUUUAACUUUUAACUGUUGUUUGACCUGGGAUGCUUUCAGUUCUCUUAUUAGAAAAAGGAGGAAUAAUAGUAAACACCUCUUAAUUUAUUGCUUGCUUUUAAUUAAUAUCUUUUCCUUUCUCAAAACUGUUUCCACUCUCUCAGGCCCACGUUGGGCAAAUAUGUUGGUAAAGUUUGUUGGAAUAAGAGGUUACAAUAAAAGCAGAGCUCUGGGAUGCUGCAGUUUAUUGAACUACUCGCUGAAUAAGUUUUCCUCUCCACUGCCUGCCAGUGGAUGUCACACUUACACAAAAAUGGUGCAAGAAAGGAGCCGAAUUUCUACUUUUUUCAUUAAAAAAGAGUUCUUGCAGUAAGUCUUUACAAUCUCCUGAAAGAAAGCUUUGGCUUCAGUGGGAAGGCAGCCUGAGGGAAGAAACAAAAAUCAGCAUAUCCUGUGUAUUCAGUGAGGAUUUAUUUUCAGUUUUAUGCACCUGGACUGAGGGGUUCCUAAGAGAUAAUGAGGGAUUUUACUGUGAGGAGUUAUCAAAUCUGUAAGAAAAGCUUUCUCCCUGGUUUUAUUAGUGAACUCUAUCUAUGCAAGGGAAUUCUGUUAUAAAUACAACUUAAUAUGAAUGUCACAGAAUCACAGUAACAGUUUCAUCAUGAUUUUCUUAUCAGAGCAAUGUGACCUUGGCAUUUUCUUCUAAUUCUUUGCAUUGUGACUUUCUUUGUUGUAUUUCAGCAAAACAUCAAGGCAGUGAGGUGCUGCUGAUCUGGGGCUUCUGUGCCCUGGAAAAAGUGGUGUCAAGGUUAUCACGGAAGUUUGUAUUUAAAUUGUGAAGCAUUGAAAACGAGCAAUGGUUCAAUGGUACUGUACACACAAACUGAAGUGGACAAAAGUAGCUUUUAAAGACAGUUCUGAGUACUAGAGAGAUUAUUGCCAUUCCCUGAGGCACAGGAAACUUAAGAGGCUUAACCAAAAACUGCAGGAGUUCAUUGUGAGAAGCCUGGGCUGAUGCCAGAGAAACCGA